Molecule: non-coding RNA, 190 nt
Organism: Oryza glumipatula
Lineage: Eukaryota; Viridiplantae; Streptophyta; Magnoliopsida; Poales; Poaceae
Source: Rfam
ACCGAGUCUGUCCAAUGUUUAACCGUCCAUCUUAUUUAAAAAAAUUAUGAAAAAAAAGACUAAAAAUACAAGUCACGCAAGUAUUAAUCAUGUUUUAUCAUCUAACAACAAUAAAAAUACUAAUUAUAAAAAAAAUCAUAUAAGACGGACAGUCAAACGUUAGACACGAAAAUCUAGGGUUUGACUUUUU